AAUCACUGGUUCUCGUACGAUCACCGAAGUUAAGCGACGUCGAGCUUGGUCAGUAUUUAGAAGGGUGACCGCUUGUGAAUACCAGGUACAGUA
Non-coding RNA from Acanthosepion pharaonis, 93 nucleotides. NCBI's taxonomy places the organism in Eukaryota, Metazoa, Mollusca, Cephalopoda, Sepiida, Sepiidae. The record is from the annotation of a GenBank genome assembly.